GACGAACGCUGGCGGCGUGCCUAAUACAUGCAAGUCGAACGCAUUUUCUUUCACCGUAGCUUGCUACACCGAAAGAAAAUGAGUGGCGAACGGGUGAGUAACACGUGGGUAACCUGCCCAUCAGCGGGGGAUAACACUUGGAAACAGGUGCUAAUACCGCAUAAUUCCAUUUACCGCAUGGUAAAUGGAUGAAGGGCGCUUUUGCGUCACUGAUGGAUGGACCCGCGGUGCAUUAGCUAGUUGGUGGGGUAACGGCCUACCAAGGCUGCGAUGCAUAGCCGACCUGAGAGGGUGAUCGGCCACACUGGGACUGAGACACGGCCCAGACUCCUACGGGAGGCAGCAGUAGGGAAUCUUCGGCAAUAGACGCAAGUCUGACCGAGCAACGCCGCGUGAGUGAAGAAGGUUUUCGGAUCGUAAAACUCUGUUGUUAGAGAAGAACAAGGAUGAGAGUGGAAAGUUCAUCCCUUGACGGUAUCUAACCAGAAAGCCACGGCUAACUACGUG
Molecule: ribosomal RNA, 507 nt
Filed under: uncultured bacterium
Lineage: Bacteria
Description: partial 16S ribosomal RNA
Rfam family: Bacterial small subunit ribosomal RNA
Source: RNAcentral